Molecule: transfer RNA, 75 nt
Filed under: Anaerolineae bacterium
Lineage: Bacteria; Bacillati; Chloroflexota; Anaerolineae
Description: tRNA-Pro
Rfam family: tRNA
About the family: Transfer RNA (tRNA) molecules are approximately 80 nucleotides in length. Their secondary structure includes four short double-helical elements and three loops (D, anti-codon, and T loops).
Source: RNAcentral
CGGGGUGUAGCUCAGCCCGGUUAGAGUGCUUGCUUUGGGAGUAAGAGGCCGACGGUUCGAAUCCGUCCACCCCGA